This is a long non-coding RNA of Panicum virgatum (switchgrass), 541 nucleotides long. RefSeq lists it as uncharacterized. NCBI's taxonomy places the organism in Eukaryota, Viridiplantae, Streptophyta, Magnoliopsida, Poales, Poaceae. The record is from RefSeq and is a predicted model, not a curated record. The transcript is spliced from 2 exons.
CUUAACCGUUAACCCCCAAAAAUGCCUAGACAUUUCCAAUCCGGACCUUUACACUUCAUGCUCUAACCUGUUUACCGAGUGUGCUAGUACUAAUGACCAGGUUUAAUGACAGGUUGGAGAAUACGAAGAAAGUGUUGGCACAUGCUAUUUAUUUUCUGAAAGUGAUGCCGAAUCAAAGCCCCCUAGUGACGAGACCACACCCUCCGAUGAAAAUACGAACAAACCAGCAGGCAGCAGCAAGCAAGCUCCGUCCAAGGAGGUGAAUCAUCUCGCCAGCGUUCAAAAGAUCCUCAAAUUUCGGCCAAUCAACGCAGAAGCACCCGCAGCACAGAGCAUAUCAGGAUAAGGACUAGGAAAUCUGAAACAAAAACAUGUAGCUCCGUAGCUGCCAUUUCUUCUUCAACGCCUUCAGUGUACAGUAAGGUGAUCAUUGAUCCCCCGAACUGGAUUGUACACUAGCUGAAUUCAUCUAGUGGACAACAACCACUUGAUGAAUAUAUUUGCGCUAUCAUAUUGGUUUUAGUCCAUAUUGUUUCCCUCU